RNAcentral lists this long non-coding RNA (1375 nucleotides) under Homo sapiens (human). Its description in RNAcentral is "non-protein coding LINC02188:16". The record is from RNAcentral. Lineage: Eukaryota; Metazoa; Chordata; Mammalia; Primates; Hominidae.
CGGAAGUCUGAGAUCAAGGUGCCGGCAGGACUGCUUCCUCCAAGCCCUCUCUUUUUGGCUUGUAAGAGCUGUCUUCUCUCUGUGUCCUCACAAGGUCGCCCUCCGUGCGUGUCUGUGUCCUCAUCUCCUCUUAUUACGGAGACACCAGUCCUACUGGAUUAGCUCCCAUGCUGGUGACCUCAUUCUACCUUAAUUACCUCCAUAAAUGCCCUAUCUCCAAACACAGUCACAUUAUGACAUCCUGGGGGUUGGACUUCGACGUGUGAGUUUGGGGGGAUGCAACCCAGCCCACAAUAAACAGCAAAUACGAUUAGAGCUUCUCACAGAUACAAAGCCAUUGUCGUGCAGCUCAUGCCCUCCUCGGGGGAAGAAGCCAGUAAGUCACAGAGAUCAGUAACGCAGGUGGGGACGAAGGUGUAGAGGAGAGCCAGGCACGGAGGCCUGUUGGAGUGCGGGUGCUUUGCAAUUUUAGAAGCCGAGGUCUAGGGGAGGCCGGACUUGAAAGACGACGUCUGGGCCAAGUGCAGAGAAAGGUGGCGGAUGAGCUGGAAGGAAGCCUGGGAGAAGGCACUUUGGGCGUAGGGUUUUGAGACACAGCUGUGUUUUGCCCGUGGCACGGGAGCUCUGGGGCCGGCAUGGCCCGUGUGGCCUAGGUGGAGGUGGGAGGGGAGGCGGGAGAAGGGGUGCCCUCGAGAUCUCGGGAGGCACUGGCCACGGAGAGCCCUCGGGCUGUUACUUCUACUAUUGCCUUUUACCAGUUAAAAGCAUCCUCCCAUGCAAAGGCUUGAGAAGGAUACAGUGGACUCUGGGGACUCGGUGGGGAAGGGUGGGAAGAGGGUGAGGGAUAAAUGACUACGAAUUAGGUGCAGUGGAUACUGCUCGGGUGAUGGGUGCGCCAAAAUCUCACAAAUCACCACCAAAGAACUUACGUAAUCAAACCCCACCUGUUCCCCAAAAACCAAUGGAAAUGAAUUUUAAAAACAAAAACAAAAAGCAUCUCCUCAACAUUGUGUUCGAAGAGAGGCAGCUGCCAGGACCUCGCUGUUCCUCACCCUCGGAAGCCGUGCCUCUUCUCUGGGCCCUUGGUCUGGCAUCCCCGGCCAGUGCAGCCCCUUCAACCGUGGGGUAGGUGGCGGGCGGAGGGGCCAGCCUGGCUGCCUGGCAUCCCCAUGGUUCCUGUAAUAAAUAACAAGCCUAACUGACAAAUUUGCUGUUUUCUUAUACGACUGCCACGCACACUACAAAGUGUGAGGCAAACCGCAAGUCAUCGGCAUCACAGCAAAACAAAAACACACACACAACAGAAGAAACCACGCUGGUGAGGUCAGCAGGGGACAGGGAGACCCUCCCUGCGGGAGCCGCUGCUAGAGGGAAA